CAAUAGCGUAUAUUAAAGUUGUUGCGGUUAAAAAGCUCGUAGUUGGAUUUCUGCUGAGGACGAUCGGUCCGCCCUCUGGGUGAGUAUCUGGCUCGGCCUUGGCAUCUUCUUGGAGAACGUUACUGCACUUGACUGUGUGGUGCGGUAUCCAGGACUUUUACUUUGAGGAAAUUAGAGUGUUUCAAGCAGGCGCACGCCUUGAAUACAUUAGCAUGGAAUAAUAAGAUAGGACCUUGGUUCUAUUUUGUUGGUUUCUAGAGCUGAGGUAAUGAUUAAUAGGGAUAGUUGGGGGCAUUCGUAUUUAACUGUCAGAGGUGAAAUUCUUGGAUUCGUUAAAGACGGACUACUGCGAAAGCAUUUGCCAAGGAUGUUUUCAUUAA
RNAcentral lists this ribosomal RNA (380 nucleotides) under uncultured eukaryote. RNAcentral describes it as "partial 18S ribosomal RNA". It matches the Rfam family "Eukaryotic small subunit ribosomal RNA", at positions 592 to 976 of the family's 1831-position model. The record is from RNAcentral.